Molecule: ribosomal RNA, 422 nt
Filed under: uncultured bacterium
Lineage: Bacteria
Description: bacterial SSU rRNA
Rfam family: Bacterial small subunit ribosomal RNA
Source: RNAcentral
UGAGGAAUAUUGGGCAAUGCCCGCAAGGGUGACCCAGCAACGCCGCGUGGAGGAUGAAUGUCGUAAGAUUGUAAACUCCUGUUAGAGGGGAAGAAUAGUACCGGUUGGACCGGUAUAUGACUGUACCCUCAGAGAAAGCCCCGGCUAACUACGUGACAGCAGCCGCGGUAAUACGUAGGGGGCAAGCGUUGUCCGGAUUUACUGGGUGUAAAGGGCGCGCAGGCGGGAUAAAAAGUCAGUGGUGAAAUCCUACAGCUUAACUGUAGAACUGCCUUUGAUACUUUUAUUCUUGAGUUCGGGAGAGAGAGACGGAAUUCCAGGUGUAGUGGUGAAAUACGUAGAUAUCUGGAAGAACACCAGUUGCGAAGGCGGUCUCUUGGUCCGACACUGACGCUGAGGCGCGAAAGCGUGGGGAGCAAACA